GGAGAGAGGGGGGGGGGUGGGUUGUGGAUUGGUAGGGUGCGGUGGUGUGCUGAGAUGACUGGGGGGAAAAAGCUCGUCGGGGGUGUGGUGGGUUGGUGGGGAGAUCUCACGGCUUAACUGGGGGCGGACUGGGGAGACGGGCAGACUGGAGUACUGCAAGGGAGACUGGAAGUCCUGGUGUAGCGGUGGAAUGCGCAGAUAUCAGGAGGAACACCGGUGGCGAAGGCGGGUCUCUGGGCAGUAACUGACGCUGAGGAGCGAAAGCGUGGGGAGCGAACAGGAUUAGAUACCCGGGUAGUC
This 300-nucleotide ribosomal RNA is filed under the name uncultured Ferroglobus sp. RNAcentral describes it as "partial 16S ribosomal RNA". The stretch from base 55 to 300 matches the Rfam family "Bacterial small subunit ribosomal RNA", at positions 550 to 795 of the family's 1533-position model. Lineage: Archaea; Methanobacteriati; Methanobacteriota; Archaeoglobi; Archaeoglobales; Archaeoglobaceae. The record is from RNAcentral.